GCUUGAGGAUUUCACUUCAAUCUUUUCUGGUUGCGUCUCCACUUGUACUCAGCUUGUUAGGUCCAGGUCCAGUUGUUCUGCAUCUGAGGCUGGCGUGUGCUGUCUUCUCUGAUUGGCCUAAUCUCCCUCACCCCCGUGAGAUCUGUUGUCAGCCUUCGUUUCUCUUUCCUGUGUCCCAGCUUUUCUGCGGGUCUUGGCACCUUUCUUGGCCACAGAUUUCUGGGUUACAGAGCAUGUGUGUCUGAGGCAUUGCAGGCAGAAAAGGGUGGCCGACGUGACCUCUAGCUGGACUGCUGGGCAGGGGAGCUGUCCUAGAUAAAAUUGGAAAGAAACAGUGACCCAGAGACAGGUGGACAAAGAAUUCGGGGACUGAUGGGAACUGAGCUUGGGAUCCAGACUGAAACUGAUUCCAGACUGACCUCUAGCACCCAGGACCCAGACACAGGGCCAUGGGACCCCAGCAUUUGAGACUUGUGCAGCUGUUCUGCCUUCUAGGGGCCAUCUCCACUCUGCCUCGUAUGUCCUGU
Molecule: long non-coding RNA, 527 nt
Filed under: Homo sapiens (human)
Lineage: Eukaryota; Metazoa; Chordata; Mammalia; Primates; Hominidae
Description: HSALNT0260145
Source: RNAcentral